CCAUCUUCAACCUUUAGAAAAGGUUUCAGAGAUUUGAAUCAAGGAUCUAGAUCAGUCAAGAAGAAGGUCUUCAUCCGAGCUAGCACUCCCGAGAAGACUGAUUAGAUCGGGGCUUCAAGUGGAUUUUCUAUAGAGACCGAAUACAUGCGCGGUUGUGAGCAACCAGCAAGGAUUUUCUCCAUCAUGUCUCUCAGUAGUGAAGAUCGUUGACCCA
This 214-nucleotide long non-coding RNA is filed under the name Elaeis guineensis (African oil palm). RNAcentral's name for it is "long non-coding RNA (EGUI_LNC038100)". The record is from RNAcentral. Lineage: Eukaryota; Viridiplantae; Streptophyta; Magnoliopsida; Arecales; Arecaceae.